ACCGCGGAUAGCUCAGCUGGAUAGAGCAUCUGCCCGGUAUGCGGAGGGGUCGCCGGUUCGAUUCCGGCUCGCGGCG
This 76-nucleotide transfer RNA is filed under the name Fasciola gigantica. Its description in RNAcentral is "tRNA-Thr". It matches the Rfam family "tRNA". From Rfam's summary of the family: Transfer RNA (tRNA) molecules are approximately 80 nucleotides in length. The record is from RNAcentral. Lineage: Eukaryota; Metazoa; Platyhelminthes; Trematoda; Plagiorchiida; Fasciolidae.